AAAACAAGAGCUAAGCCAUCUCAUAAGAGAAGCAUAACACUAUUUUAACCUGUCACAGUGGCUAAUAUUUGCACAUUAUUACACAAAAUAAUAAUAGUAAUAAAAUCUGAAAUUGUUUUAACUAAUUUCAAUUUCUCAGCUAAACUUAAUAUACAAAAUAUUUGUUAACAAAGCUACAUCUCUUCGAGAUCGAAGAUCCUGUCCUAUUGUGUACUGCAUCAUACCUUCAACUAUUUUGUAUUAUGGACAAGAAAUAACCAAAUAUCAUAUUGUGGAGAGCUCAGUGUGAGCAGAGACUGAAGGCAAAACCUUCUUCCCUCUGGUCAUACUAUGUCAUUGGUUUGAUUUCAAGAAGAAUAUGUGAGAGUGAGAGAACUUCGUCCUCCUCACCCGCUAAUUCUACAUUUCCUAAUAAUCUUGUUUGAAAGAUUUACAUGUCUAUUCCAUAUGUUUUGUACCUCUGGGAGCCCUAUCUCUAGCCAGGGCUUUGCAGGGCCACUAAAAUGUAAAACAGCAGCAGCUUCCAGUAUCUCUCUGCGACCUUCGGGGGGUCUAUAGCCUAGUCCAGCCAGAUGCCAUGUGGGAUCAAUAGGGUGCACUUGACCAUCAAAAGCAAGUAAUGCCGGUGGAAACACCCCUGGUUGCCAUAAUUCCAGUCCAGAUUUUAGACUCUGCAAACAAGAUGAUUGACAUUAAGGCAGAGAAGGAAAAAAAAAUACAUUCAUAAUAAAGGAUAAUUAUGAACACAUGAAACUCUCCUGUGAAUGACUACAUAGGCUCUCGCAGAUUAAGGUGGAAGGUAGCUAGGCGAUAGCCAUUGUAAAACAUUAACACUCUUUGUGAUAAGGAGCCAAACAGAUACAGCAUGGGAUGUUCAAACAUAGCCCCGAAUCAAAUAUAAUACAAAACAUGGUUCGUAUAGCGAACUCCAACAAGAUUGGGAUUAAGACAUAAUUAAAUUGAUUAGGUAGUCUACAAUUGCACCACGAAAAUACUUGCUGAAAUUGGGUCAUCAAAUAUAAAUGUUUCCAACAGCACAACCAAGCUUCCUCCAAAGUAUCAAUUCCGUUGACAAACAAUGAUUGCAUCUUUUGUAAAGCCAGUGUGUGUGCGCACGUGUGCUCAACUGGCAGCAUUUCAACAGAAAAGAGCUUACUUACAUGUUUCAACCAUUUAUGGUAAUUUGUUGUGACAUUGGCUCUCCUCCAAGUGUUAAGAUCAAAGACAUUCAUGCCAUAAAGCCAGGCACAACGUUCAGGAUCAAAAUUAGAUGAAAUUAUUGGGUGAGAAAAAUUCAAAAAAUCUUUAUAUCUUCGUCCUGGGCAGCAGUUUUCACCGCACCAUGAGUCAACAACAGCACCAACAACUUUCUUGUUGAGAUCCAAUUCCCACAAAGAUGAUAUGUCAUGUUGCACUACUACAUCAUCAUCCAAGAAAACUAUCUUGUUGAGAUCUGGAAACAGCUGUGCAGCCCAUGAAAGUCAAAUUAUAGAUCCAUCAUUAUUAAAUACUUCAUACAUUCAACAUCAUCAAUCCAAUCACAGAAGAUCAAAUGAAUUUUGAGUAAUACCUCAGGAAUAUAAAUUCGGAGAUGAUUCAACAGGGAAAGAGACGUGGGACUUAAAGCCUCCAAACUUCUCAUGCGCUCUUCGUCGAGUAGAAAGUUAUCUUCUUUCAUAUUGGUGUAGUAGUGGCUCCAAAUAAGACGAUGAAUCUCUAACAUCUCUUUAAUGCCAAUAUUUACUUCCUUUGUCCAGUCAUAUUGGUGCAAUCCCUUAAUUUCCACAACCGCUGAUUUAAUAGGAUUGAUAGCAAACCAUGCAUGCAUUGGGGUGUAUGUUUUCUUGUCAGUGAUUACAUGAAACACCAAUUUUUCAGGGCUGACUGAGUUUUGGACUGUAGAAGAGAUGACAACAGAGGCAGCAAGAACAUUAUCAGUUAUGAGAACAACAUGAUGAAAGGAUGGAUCUGCCAGGCGAGACACAUAUUCAGGUUGGGGUAAACGAGAUCGGGCUAUGGCAUUUACAGCAUAUUCCUCAGCCAAUUUGAGGCAAAGGCAAUGUAGGGUCUUUGGAAUGCCAUGUGAAGCUAAAUGCCAGAAAAUUGACUCACGCUGUCUGGCUAACUGCACCUUGCGCUCCAUUUUAGACAGCAUGGCCUUGGUCUUGAGAGCAAAAGCCUUAAUGUCUGGUCGUUUAGACGUCAUUUCCUUCACAAGGUCGUUGAAUGAUUCUGUUGAAUCGUCCAUUCCAUUAUCAUAUAUGCCACCCUCCUUUGCCUCCAACAAUGCUCUUGUCAGCUCUUCUCUCAGCUUCAGAGAUGUGUCCCUCCCGCCGAAAAACCUCCAUCCCGUACAGUCAAAGGUGGGACUGCAAGCAGUGGCAGAUUCGAGGACCAAAAACGCAAUUCUAACAAAAAGGAAGGGCAAAAGGAUCCCAAGCAGCAGCACCACCGGCAGCACUGUCCGGCUAGAAAGCCUCCGACACGCAGCCACCUUAGAUCCCUUUCCCCCGCUGCUGCCGGAGUUCGAUAUCGUCACUCUCUUAAUCCCCGCUGUCGAAAUAUAAAACUUCAUAAUGAUUUGCUGGCAGUUUCCUGAGCUUUAUCGCCCUUUCUCUCUAAUUCCAUGUCAAAUUCCAAUCCCUUUCCGCUUCUCACUCUACGCUGCUGCGUCGAUACAAAGAGAUCUAGCUUCUUCAGCACCACUUUUGGUCACGAGUUUGAUCUCUGUGGAGUUGAGUGAGUGAGUACAAAAUCGCUUUUAAGAGACUCAAUGGGAUGAGCCUUCUGUAUCGGCUACUUGACAAAAGAAACAAAAACGCCUUGUGUUCUUUUUCCCCUUCUUAUAGUUUUUCUUUUGUAGUAAUUUUUU
Molecule: unclassified non-coding RNA, 2872 nt
Filed under: Hevea brasiliensis (rubber tree)
Lineage: Eukaryota; Viridiplantae; Streptophyta; Magnoliopsida; Malpighiales; Euphorbiaceae
Source: RNAcentral